UAGAAAGCAAGUUUCUUGAAGAGUCACCUGCUGAACUCUACUAGCGUCAUCUCUACAGCCUUCAUAAUCCAGAGAAGUCACAGUAAUGUUUCAAUUCAAGUUUGUGGAACUCUGAGUUAUCACCUUCUUGUCAGAAGAACUGAGGUGUCUAACUUUAUCCUUGCUUACAUGUUAGGCUGAAAUGUCCAAUGCGGUGGAAGUACAUCAGCCAUGCUGAUGAAGCCAGCAUCUGUGGAAAUGAUGGAGCAUGAAAUGAGAAGAAAACAAA
Hippopotamus amphibius kiboko is the source of this 268-nucleotide long non-coding RNA. RefSeq lists it as uncharacterized. The record is from RefSeq and is a predicted model, not a curated record. Lineage: Eukaryota; Metazoa; Chordata; Mammalia; Artiodactyla; Hippopotamidae. The transcript has 3 exons.